CACGUAGGGCGCAAGCGUUGUCCGGAAUUAUUGGGCGUAAAGAGCUCGUAGGCGGUCUGUUGCGUCCGCUGUGAAAACUCGGGGCUUAACCCCGAGCCUGCAGUGGAUACGGGCAGACUAGAGGUAGGUAGGGGAGAAUGGAAUUCCCGGUGUAGCGGUGAAAUGCGCAGAUAUCGGGAGGAACACCGGUGGCGAAGGCGGUUCUCUGGGCCUUACCUGACGCUGAGGCAGCGAAAGCGUGGGGAGCGAACAGG
This 254-nucleotide ribosomal RNA is filed under the name uncultured bacterium. RNAcentral's name for it is "partial 16S ribosomal RNA". It matches the Rfam family "Bacterial small subunit ribosomal RNA", at positions 524 to 776 of the family's 1533-position model. The record is from RNAcentral.